This 437-nucleotide ribosomal RNA is filed under the name uncultured Campylobacter sp. Its description in RNAcentral is "bacterial SSU rRNA". It matches the Rfam family "Bacterial small subunit ribosomal RNA", at positions 958 to 1393 of the family's 1533-position model. The record is from RNAcentral. Lineage: Bacteria; Pseudomonadati; Campylobacterota; Epsilonproteobacteria; Campylobacterales; Campylobacteraceae.
AACGCGAAGAACCUUACCUGGGCUUGAUAUCCUAAGAACCUCUUAGAGAUAAGAGGGUGCUAGCUUGCUAGAACUUAGAGACAGGUGCUGCACGGCUGUCGUCAGCUCGUGUCGUGAGAUGUUCGGUUAAGUCCGGCAACGAGCGCAACCCACGUAUUUAGUUGCCAACAGUUUGGCUGAGCACUCUAAAUAUACUGCCUUCGUAAGGAGGAGGAAGGUGUGGACGACGUCAAGUCAUCAUGGCCCUUAUGCCCAGGGCGACACACGUGCUACAAUGGCAUAUACAAUGAGACGCAAUACCGCGAGGUGGAGCAAAUCUAUAAAAUAUGUCCCAGUUCGGAUUGUUCUCUGCAACUCGAGAGCAUGAAGCCGGAAUCGCUAGUAAUCGUAGAUCAGCCAUGCUACGGUGAAUACGUUCCCGGGUCUUGUACACACGC